GACGAACGCUGGCGGCGUGCUUAACACAUGCAAGUCGAACGGAAAGGCCCUGCUUUUGUGGGGUGCUCGAGUGGCGAACGGGUGAGUAACACGUGAGUAACCUGCCCUUGACUUUGGGAUAACUUCUGGAAACUGGGGCUAAUACCGGAUAGGAGCUCCUGCUGCAUGGUGGGGGUUGGUAAGUUUCGGCGGUUGGGGAUGGACUCGCGGGUUAUCCGCUUGAUGGUGGGGUAGUGGCUUACCAAGGCUUUGACGGGUAGCCGGCCUGGGAGGGUGACCGGGCACAUUGGGACUGAGAUACGGCCCAGACUCCUACGGGAGGCAACAGUGGGGAAUAUUGCACAAUGGGCGGAAGCCUGAUGCAGCAACGCCGCGUGCGGGAUGACGGCCUUCGGGUUGUAAACCGCUUUCGCCUGUGACGAAGCGGGAGUGACGGUAAUGGGUAAAGAAGCACCGGCUAACUACGUG
This 468-nucleotide ribosomal RNA is filed under the name uncultured bacterium. RNAcentral describes it as "partial 16S ribosomal RNA". It matches the Rfam family "Bacterial small subunit ribosomal RNA", at positions 28 to 507 of the family's 1533-position model. The record is from RNAcentral.